RNAcentral lists this transfer RNA (82 nucleotides) under Glomus cerebriforme. It matches the Rfam family "tRNA". Rfam says of the family: Transfer RNA (tRNA) molecules are approximately 80 nucleotides in length. Their secondary structure includes four short double-helical elements and three loops (D, anti-codon, and T loops). Further hydrogen bonds mediate the characteristic L-shaped molecular structure. tRNAs have two regions of fundamental functional importance: the anti-codon, which is responsible for specific mRNA codon recognition, and the 3' end, to which the tRNAs corresponding amino acid is attached (by aminoacyl-tRNA synthetases). tRNAs cope with the degeneracy of the genetic code in two manners: having more than one tRNA (with a specific anti-codon) for a particular amino acid; and 'wobble' base-pairing, i.e. permitting non-standard base-pairing at the 3rd anti-codon position. The record is from Rfam by way of RNAcentral. Lineage: Eukaryota; Fungi; Glomeromycota; Glomeromycetes; Glomerales; Glomeraceae.
GCAUCAGUAGUAUAGCGGUAGAAUACUCGCCUUCCAAGAUAUGAGAAAGCGAGUGGCCCGGGUUCAACUCCCGGCUGAUGCA